ACUCCGGGGAAAGAAACACUUAAUCAGGGCAUGUUAUUAAAGCCUAACUGCCUAAAGCCCUUUUCUCAAAGUUGAAGGGUCACAGGGAAUACUACCGAAAAAUAAGCUGCGAGGAUCCCAUUGGGGGUGCAGAGCCGCAUCCCCGCAGAGAUCGCUAACAGGCCGGCAGGUCUCGUCACUGAAGCCCCGGCCCGGAGAUAGGGAUCGGGUCGCUGCACCCAUGCAUGUGGUCCCAUCCUGAGGGUGCACGUAGCACCCUGCUGGAGGUCGAGGAACCGGAGCGUGACCGUGGGGCGUGACCAGGGAGUUUUGCCCCGCGACUGUCCCGCAGCUCACAAGGAAGGCCAGUUCCACUCGGGGAGAAGUUGAGAAGCGUCCCAGCCACACCACCUACCAAUGCAGCGCGGGACGGGAACUUUGCGCCUAAGGCGCACUUGCCAGAGGGACCCUUCAGAGCCGCUCGGACCCGGGACCCGGGACCCGCGACCCGCGUGGCCAAUCACCGCGCGACGCGGACGGGGGCGGUGGCAGGGCGCGAGCAUCCGCGGAGUGACUGCGCCACUCGCCAAUAGGAAGCCACGGUGGGAGACCUCGCCCAUCCAGUUGACCAAUGGGAAAAGAGCGGCUACAGCUGAGGUCCCCGCACUAGCUGUAGGCGCUGGUGGCCGCGGGUUGGAGACCCCUCGGGCUGAAGUGACUUUGCAGGAGACUUGGCUCGACCCCCUCCCCCGUGCCUCCCUCCCACCCGCGAGCCGCAGUCCGGGCCUCACCUGCUGGAAGCGGGGCUUGCCCAGCUGGAAAGGGGGAGCAUCAGUGGAGGCGUUUGCGGGACUGGCCGCCGCCGCCGAGGCUGUGGUCGCUGUAUCCGCCAUGGCCACUGACGCCCGCAAUCUCCAGCCCUUUUAAAAUGUCCCUCCUCGGCCCCCGCCACAGUUGCCUCUCCCGAUUGGCCGUGAGCAACCGCAGCGAGCAGGGCGCGCAGGGCCUUGUGGGAAGUGUAGUUUUUCCCAGCUCUGAGCCUGACAACCCCAGACUGCAGAGAGCUGCACCCACGCAGACCUGGUUUCGGUUCCCGCCGCCAAAGCAGCAGGCAUUGGCAUUCCUGGGAAUGUGUGAAGGUGCGAGUGUACCCGUGGUCCUGUGUCUUACGACCAGGAACCUCCUACAAACGCGGGCCCGACCCGGGACUAGAUAGGCAAGGAUUCCAGGCAGAGUGGGGUUAAUUCAGAAGGCCUUCAGCAAGUCGCACUGCGGGAUUUUUCGGCAGUUUCUUCUAUCAUAACCCUGCCUUGAGACAUUCUGUCACUCUGCCUCUCUCUUAAACAACUGCCCAAGUUGCUAUGACUAUUGAACACGCUAGUCAUACUUUUACCAUGGUUUGAUGGCGUUAAAAUUCCAUCGCCCUACUUCUACAAAAUCUGCUUCAGGAUUCUGUAUAUGGUACUCUCUUUUGCCUAGCUACAUACUAAACUAUGUAGCACAGGCUGGCCUCAAACUCUGACCCUCCUUCCUCUGCCUUCCAAGUCUAGGGUUAUAGGUGCCAGCUAGCAGACCAACUAUGGGCUUAUCUUUCCACUGUAUGGUGUGUGCGGAGUGAUUUUGGUUGAAUAAAUCUUCAAUGCAUGUAGAGCAGGGGUCACACUAGGAAUUCAAAUAUAUUGGGUGAGUUAAGCAUCCUGA
This is a long non-coding RNA of Arvicola amphibius (Eurasian water vole), 1680 nucleotides long. RefSeq lists it as uncharacterized. The record is from RefSeq and is a predicted model, not a curated record. Lineage: Eukaryota; Metazoa; Chordata; Mammalia; Rodentia; Cricetidae. The transcript is spliced from 2 exons.